This 253-nucleotide ribosomal RNA is filed under the name uncultured bacterium. RNAcentral's name for it is "partial 16S ribosomal RNA". It matches the Rfam family "Bacterial small subunit ribosomal RNA", at positions 524 to 776 of the family's 1533-position model. The record is from RNAcentral.
GACGAACCGUGCGAACGUUGUUCGGAAUCACUGGGCGUAAAGGGCGCGUAGGCGGCUCAUGAAGGCUGUGGUGAAAGUCCGGGGCUCAACCUCGGAUCGGCCGUGGCGACUCGUGGGCUGGAGCACUGUAGAGGCGGGUGGAAUUCCGGGUGUAGCGGUGGAAUGCGUAGAGAUCCGGAGGAACACCAGUGGCGAAGGCGACACGCUGGGCCGUACCUGACACUGAUGCGCGACAGCAUGGGGAGCAAACAGG